GACGAACGCUGGCGGCGUGCUUAACACAUGCAAGUCGAACGGUGAAGCGCCUUCCUUUUUGGUGGGUGUGGAUGAGUGGCGAACGGGUGAGUAACACGUGAGUAACCUGCCCCCUUCUUCUGGAGAACCGCAUGAAAGUGUGGCUAAUACGGGAUAUUCUGGGUCUGUCGCAUGAUGGGUCUGGGAAAGAUAUUGUUUCGGUGGGGGAUGGGCUCGCGGCCUAUCAGCUUGUUGGUGGGGUGAUGGCCUACCAAGGCGGUGACGGGUAGCCGGCCUGAGAGGGUGGACGGUCACACUGGGACUGAGACACGGCCCAGACUCCUACGGGAGGCAGCAGUGGGGAAUAUUGCACAAUGGGCGCAAGCCUGAUGCAGCGACGCCGCGUGAGGGAUGGAGGCCUUCGGUUUGUGAACCUCUUUCGCCAGUGAAGCAGGCCUGCCUCGUUUGUGGGUGGGUUGACGGUAGCUUGAUAAGAAGCGCCGGCUAACUACGUG
Molecule: ribosomal RNA, 494 nt
Filed under: uncultured bacterium
Lineage: Bacteria
Description: partial 16S ribosomal RNA
Rfam family: Bacterial small subunit ribosomal RNA
Source: RNAcentral